This 411-nucleotide ribosomal RNA is filed under the name uncultured bacterium. RNAcentral's name for it is "bacterial SSU rRNA". It matches the Rfam family "Bacterial small subunit ribosomal RNA", at positions 355 to 763 of the family's 1533-position model. The record is from RNAcentral.
UGAGGAAUAUUGCGCAAUGGAGGCAACUCUGACGCAGCCAUGCCGCGUGCAGGAAGAAGGCGCUACGCGUUGUAAACUGCUUUUAUCCGGGAAGAAACCCCUCCACGCGUGGAGGGUUGACGGUACCGGAGGAAUAAGCACCGGCUAACUUCGUGCCAGCAGCCGCGGUAAUACGAAGGGUGCAAGCGUUAUCCGGAUUCAUUGGGUUUAAAGGGUGCGUAGGCGGGAUAGCAAGUCAGUGGUGAAAUCCCGUGGCUUAACCACGGAGGGGCCAUUGAUACUGCUGUUCUUGAGGACGCUCGACGUGGGCGGAAUGUGCCGUGUAGCGGUGAAGUGCUUAGAUAUGGCACAGAACACCGAGAGUGAAGACAGCUCACGAGGGCGAAACUGACGCUGAGGCACGAAAGCGUG